AGAGCCGGGGUCUGGAAGCAGGGCAGGAAUGAGCGAGGGUGGUAAAAUUAAACUUCACUUUGUUAACUAAUGGCUGGGGAGUGCUGGGCGUCAGCCGUGACAUGCGUGUGCUGUGGCGCCAGCAGUGCCUGGAAAGACAGUGUAAACUGUGUUUUUCAUCUCCUUGGAGAGCUUGGACAUAGUGUAGUCUAGGGCAUUAUCUGUUGCUUUCCAAGCUCUCAGAAAGCUGUCAUUUCAACACUCCCUGUUUUUUAAAAGGUUUUUUUUUUUUUUUUUUUUUUUUUUUUUUUUUGUGUUCCCUUGUCUAUCUUUUCAAGGGCCUUUACAGGGAAGAGGCUGAUUGUAGAAGAGGAAAAGGCUGCCAGACACACUAGGUCAACAGUGAAAAGAGAUUGCAUACCACAUUCUGGAACCAAAUUUAGAGUGAAUGAUAUGCAAAUUUUAAAGGUCAGUCAUCGUGCCUGUUGUAACAGAGUAUGCUGUACGGUAUUUGCAACAUAUAUUGAGUACAGAAUGCGAUAGCAAUGGAUCAGUACAUUGAAUGAGCGAAUAAAGGUAUUGCUGCAAAACUUUGAUAGAGAUAUGCUACAUGCAAAUAUCAAGAAGUAAUAGGUUAUUCCAUGGACAUUUCAAGAAAGUGCACUGGUUUUGUGUUUAUAAGCUUUUCGGUACUAAACUCAUGUCUUUGCUUUGCAUUUGAACAGCUCCCAGUACAAGCAUGGAUCCAUCAGUAUGCCUUCUGAAUGCUGCUGUAAUACUAAUACUUCUAUUAUCAAACCCAUAAUUAAUAUAAAACUUUUAUUAGAUGUUUUAGAGAGGCCUUUUGAAGGUUGACAGCUCUUGUGGAUAAGUGAAGACAACCUUGUAACCUCUGUGGUGAUAAAAUGUAAUUGCACAAUAGUUGGGUCAGCUUUUAGAUGUGCUUGUGCCACUUAUGUUCAUCUAUAUUAGAACUUUCAUGAGCCUCCAGCUGUGAUGUCAUUGGUUGUAACUCUUUCCGUGGAAGCACUUGAGAAAGCUGGCAUUACUGAGGUUAAAAGGAAACUAACCCUCAGAGGUCAUGUUUGGAUAUGUGCUUUUGUUUAGACAUAGUUCAUCUGAAAUUGCUGUUGCUAUCAUCUGAUCUAGUUUGAGCAUCUUUGCACAGCUUCUGCAUGAGAUGGGCAGAUUUGAGUUCCCAUAACAGCCUGCACCAAUGAAACCAGCAAGGUUUGUUUUCAGCAAUGACUUUACAGAUAGCUAAACCUGACAUGGCUAAAGGAGAAGAAAUCUGAUUACUAAAUCAAAUAAACUUCCGAAAUUGAGGGUUAUUCUUUUUGUUUGCCAAGUAAGGACUGUACAGAGACAACUUCAGUUCCUUUUUUAUUAACCAUUUAAUCUCCAAUCAAAUAUGUAUUGAAACCUCUGGAACUAACCCACUAAGUAUGUAGUUAACCUCUCAAUUUUUAAACUUUCGGUAACUCUUGAAUAAAUUAAGUUAUUUUGGCACUAGCAUUUGUCUUUACUUUUUGGAUCUAGAAGUCUGAGGGUCUUUGUAGUAAAGCCCCUU
Melopsittacus undulatus (budgerigar) is the source of this 1549-nucleotide long non-coding RNA. NCBI's taxonomy places the organism in Eukaryota, Metazoa, Chordata, Aves, Psittaciformes, Psittaculidae. The record is from Ensembl.